RNAcentral lists this ribosomal RNA (678 nucleotides) under Bacillus anthracis (anthrax bacterium). RNAcentral describes it as "bacterial SSU rRNA". It matches the Rfam family "Bacterial small subunit ribosomal RNA", at positions 44 to 704 of the family's 1533-position model. The record is from RNAcentral. Lineage: Bacteria; Bacillati; Bacillota; Bacilli; Caryophanales; Bacillaceae.
GUGCUAUACAUGCAAGUCGAGCGAAUGGAUUAAGAGCUUGCUCUUAUGAAGUUAGCGGCGGACGGGUGAGUAACACGUGGGUAACCUGCCCAUAAGACUGGGAUAACUCCGGGAAACCGGGGCUAAUACCGGAUAACAUUUUGAACCGCAUGGUUCGAAAUUGAAAGGCGGCUUCGGCUGUCACUUAUGGAUGGACCCGCGUCGCAUUAGCUAGUUGGUGAGGUAACGGCUCACCAAGGCAACGAUGCGUAGCCGACCUGAGAGGGUGAUCGGCCACACUGGGACUGAGACACGGCCCAGACUCCUACGGGAGGCAGCAGUAGGGAAUCUUCCGCAAUGGACGAAAGUCUGACGGAGCAACGCCGCGUGAGUGAUGAAGGCUUUCGGGUCGUAAAACUCUGUUGUUAGGGAAGAACAAGUGCUAGUUGAAUAAGCUGGCACCUUGACGGUACCUAACCAGAAAGCCACGGCUAACUACGUGCCAGCAGCCGCGGUAAUACGUAGGUGGCAAGCGUUAUCCGGAAUUAUUGGGCGUAAAGCGCGCGCAGGUGGUUUCUUAAGUCUGAUGUGAAAGCCCACGGCUCAACCGUGGAGGGUCAUUGGAAACUGGGAGACUUGAGUGCAGAAGAGGAAAGUGGAAUUCCAUGUGUAGCGGUGAAAUGCGUAGAGAUAUGGAGG